GAAAUGCGAUAAGUAAUGUGAAUUGCAGAAUUCAGUGAAUCAUCGAAUCUUUGAACGCACAUUGCGCCCCCUGGUAUUCCGGGGGGCAUGCCCGUUCGAGCGUCAUUUCACCACUCAAGCCUCGCUUGGUAUUGGGCGACGCGGUCCGCCGCGCGCCUCAAAUCGACCGGCUGGGUCUUUCGUCCCCUCAGCGUUGUGGAAACUAUUCGCUAAAGGGUGCCGCGGGAGGCCACGCCGUAAAACAACCCCAUUUCUAAGGUUGACCUCGGAUCAGGUAGGGAUACCCGCUGAACUUAAGC
RNAcentral lists this unclassified non-coding RNA (299 nucleotides) under plant metagenome. Its description in RNAcentral is "partial contains 5.8S ribosomal RNA, internal transcribed spacer 2, and large subunit ribosomal RNA". The stretch from base 1 to 105 matches the Rfam family "5.8S ribosomal RNA", at positions 50 to 154 of the family's 154-position model. The record is from RNAcentral.